This 254-nucleotide ribosomal RNA is filed under the name uncultured bacterium. RNAcentral's name for it is "partial 16S ribosomal RNA". It matches the Rfam family "Bacterial small subunit ribosomal RNA", at positions 524 to 776 of the family's 1533-position model. The record is from RNAcentral.
UACGAAGGGGGCUAGCGUUGUUCGGAAUUACUGGGCGUAAAGCGCACGUAGGCGGACUUGUCAGUCAGGGGUGAAAUCCCGAGGCUUAACCUCGGAACUGCCUUCGAUACUGCGGGUCUCGAGUCCGGGAGAGGUGAGUGGAAUUCCGUAGUGUAGAGGUGAAAUUCGUAGAUAUUAGGAAGAACACCAGUGGCGAAGGCGGCUCACUGGCCCGGUACUGACGCUGAGGCGCGAAAGCUAGGGGAGCGAACGGG